CCGUGCUCCUUUUUGAAGUGGCAGCACACACGAGCAGAUGCGUGCUCUCCUCGCUGCGUACAGGCGGCGCCGCCGCGGGCGCUCCUCGAUCUAUACGGGCGGCGCCGCCGCCACCUGCGGCUGGUCUUCUUCUCCAGCCAUCUGCCGCCCUUCUCUCCUCCCAAUUCGCUGCCCUCCUCUACACUCCCGCCCCUAAUCUUCUCUGGCCCUACCCCAGCCUCCUUGAUCUCCAGCCUCCUGCUGCCGUGCCUCGAUCCAUACGGGCGUCGCCGCCGCCGCCGGCUGGUCUUCUUCUCCGGACAUCCGCCGCCCUCCUCCCCUCCCCCUCCCCCCUAAUCUUCUUCUUCUUCUCCGGCCAUCCGUCGCCCUCCUCAAAUCCCGCGGAGUUCGCCGGAGGAAGAACAUCCGCCGUCCGAACGUGCUACACCAGGGCGAAGCACCGGAAAGAGGACGUUUCUAUGCAGCAUAACCCAAAAGUUUAAUUUGAGGUAUUCCAUCAAGCGUAUGCUCCAUAGCCUCCAUCAUGUAGUAUAUUUCCUUUGUUUCAGGUUGUACAGAGGAUUUCCCUUGUUUCAGGUUGUACAGAGGAGCUCAACGACAACUGAGGCUAGUUUAAUCAAUUCAUUGGCGUACUUUAGGAAACAAGGAUAUAUUGGGUGGUCUCCGACCGCCCGUCGACAAUACAGAGUCGUCGUAGUUGGGUUGUGUUCAUGUAACACUGAAACUUGACAUAGUUAAUAUAAGAAGGUUUGAUUUACUUCCACUAUGUUACUGUUCAGUCUAUUUUAUAAACAUGUUGAUUAGCCAUUCUGGCAAAGAGGCAUCUUCAAUAUUUCAGAAAUCUCUUUUCCAGAAACUCCAAUUCUGCUCAUAGGAAUUGAGAUGCCCAAUAUUUCUCAAUUUGCUGACAAGGCUGUAAUAUAUGUAUGCUUUACACAUGUCGAUCCAUUGGAAGAGUAUUUUCAAGGAUUCUGCUGCUUACUAAUUGUUUACAUCCAUUGCACAAACUAAGUGGUAGGGGGACUGUUCCCUCUCAUUAGAGCUAAAACAUAUCUUCGUAUUUUUAUAAGGUAUUUCUCCCCAAAAUUUUACCCAAACCUUUCCCAUGAAGUAAUAUAUUUCAAUAUGUUUUUAAACUUCUAAUUAGGUACAAUACAUUAUUGUUGUGGUGUUGAUCAUAUUAACCACGAAACAAGGUUUUUAUUUGUUUGAGUUUUUAUCCUGUAAUAAUAUAAUCUCAAAAUUAAUAAAGUCGCCAUGAUGGCUUUUCCUCACAAAAAAAAUCCUCACAAUCGAGUACUAGCAUCGGGGUGUGGCUCAUCGGGGUUCAGCAGAUGAACUGAUGAACACAGCAGGAAAGGAGGCUGAGGAGGGAUAGACUCUUUUUAUUGGCCGGGUUGUGGUGAGAACAUAAGAGAGAGCAUCGGGGUGUGGCUCAUUGCUUCAUAUGCUGCUACCGAUAUAUGUAUGUUGUUGUUUGCUUCAUAUGCUGCUACUAAUAUAUGUAUGCUGCUGAUUGGUCCUGAUAUACACUGCCUAUUGCUGCUAAUAGUAAUAUUGCUACUCAAUUUGAUAGGUAGAGUGGUAAUAGACGGCGAGAUUGGAUAGUGCUCAUAUGACAGUCGGACCAUUGUCCUUUCUGUGAUGAGUUAGAGAAUAUUGCUCUCAUGUGUUAAUCAGCUGAUCCUCCUUAGCCUUCCCGUGGUCUGAACUUCAAAGUUUUCAUCCACUCAAUGCUGAUUCAGUCAAAGAUCUGUGAGAAGAAACUUAUUUCAACAAGAUUCACUCUACUUUGCUUAUCGCGGUCCUCUGGAAUAUAUGGAAGCGCAGGAACUCCAAGUUCUUCCGGGAUGUUUUUGAGGAAUUGCACAUUACUGCUAGCAAGAUUGCUGAUGAUCUUAUGUUGUGGUCCAACAGUUUUAUGAAGUGGUUCAGGCCGGUGUAAGCACGCUAUUGUCCCUGAAAAAAAUCCGGCGAGUGAUGCCUCACCCUCUCUGAACUGAAUAUUAUGUGCUUUUGUACUACUCGAAGAAGCCAAACACAGUGAAGCAUCUCUGUUGGCUAGCAUCCCUGAUGGGAAAUUUGUUGUCUUGCUGAUGGAGAGAUGGAGUUGGAGUGGCGGCUCAAAACUCUAAUCUUGUUGUCUUGUUCGGUGAAGUGAUUGCAACAUUGUUUUGUUUUGUUCUAUGCAUGCUUCCAUGCCGGUUGAAGUGAUUCUGCCAGUCAAUUGUAUGAACUUAAGUUACCUGUGUCAUAUGAGACUGCUGCUACUAGGAACUCUUAGGUUAUCAUUUAUUUUUAUGGGUAUACUCAUGGCCUGAUGCAUUAUAUGGCUAUUAUUUGUGUCAACUUUAGUGUUACUAUAACUUUUAUUUUUGUUGUAACUGUAGAAAAAUAGAUGGCAGAACUGAACAUUGCAGAGGAUUUUGAUAACCGACCUUAAAAAAAAGCAAAAAUUUCUGAAUCAGGUGUUUUGGAGCCAUCACCUACGUCACCAACUAUGAAACAUUAUCUCCAGUUUCUGAAUGUUUUGGAUAAAUCGUGCCGGGAUCAGAUAAUCAAAUAGAUCGUGAUCCAUUGCCAUCAACUCCGUCCGCAACUAUCUCGACAUUACCUCUGAUUUUUGAAUUGAUGCAUGAAAGAAAAGUUUCAUUACAUGAUGAUAAGGAACAAGAUGUGAACAUAAACAAAUCAAAGUUGAUGAGACAUAUGAUUAUCUCCCACAAGGCACUUUGGUGUCUCAGCAACCAGGUCGCCACCGACCACCACGAUGGCUCACCGCGAUGCCCUCCCGCCACCCUAUAUACGACACCAGUGGCGAGAUGGGCGGGAUCUUUUUGGCGUGCCGGCACACAGGAACGACACACACCAUACAACCUGAAGGAUACGUUCAUCAGGCUUGACAUGACCCUCACCGAUGCCGCAUUGCCGCUUCUGUUGCUGGAGAUCAGCCAAAGAGUUAGCUUGUUGCCGCUUUGCUUCAAUGGUUGCUUCAAUGCUCUUCGACUCUCCGUAAUGAGCAGCUGAUGGUGCUUGGACGAAACAAUUGAUCGGGAAAUGGGUAGUGUUGUGCUGGUGGUCAUGUAUCAGCCCACUAUCUAUAAAACACCUAAGAUGAUUCUUCAGGACCCGAUAUAUUCCAAUUACUCAUUUGGGUCUUCUUACUGUGAUACAUGGUUUUACUUAGUAAUCUUAAGAUCAAUUUGUUCGUUUAUAA
Molecule: long non-coding RNA, 3217 nt
Organism: Triticum aestivum (bread wheat)
Lineage: Eukaryota; Viridiplantae; Streptophyta; Magnoliopsida; Poales; Poaceae
Exons: 6
Source: RefSeq, a predicted model, not a curated record